CCUGGUUGUUCUGUUUUGUACCACUUGAGUUAAGUGUACUUUUGCCUUCUGCCACAAGCAAGAAACAACUGCAGAGGAACCAGAGCAGCUUUAGCAUGGUACUCCACAGCACCAAAGCAAGGAAAAUGCAGGCAGAACUAAAUGUGCAGAAGCAUUAGAGAUGGAAAGGUGGAGGGCUCGUGCCUUUGCAGGGCUGCUGGUAGUAGCAAGGUACUUAAGCUGGUGCAGGGAGGAACCAGGCGUCAGCCCAAACAUCUCAACUGAAGUGCUGAGACAACGCAUGCCAGUUCCUGUCCACUCGUGGUGACUUACUGUGCCAGGCUCCCCUGUCCUCUGGAGGUGGGUUUGUGCAACGGAGUAUUCUGGGGGUGAGGUAAAGUGUAUGCUGGUUUCUCAUCACAAUGCACCCUGGUCUGAAUAGCACCCAUAGUUCGAGAAGGAUACAAAAUAGUGUUUCCCCUUUUUUGAAAUCCCCCCCUAAAAAACACGCAAACCAAAACAAGCUCUGGGAAAAAACUACAACUCAUCACGCAUCUUGUCUCCUUUGGGCCUGACGAGCCUGCCAAUGAAGAGAAUGGAGUUGGUUUUGCUGUCCUUGAUCAUGAAGAUGAAGGGGUGGUCAGCGUAGAAGAGCUUGGGGUUCCUCAUCUCCUCUCGGCCGUAGAUGUCAGCAUCAUAGGGGUUCCCAUCUGUGUCCCAUUCAAGAGCAGCGGCAUGGAAGACGUUGGAUAAGUAAAGAUCUUUCUUGCCAGAGAUCUUUGACAGGUCAGCCUUGGUUUUGUCAAUGGCUUCCGUCAGGCCCAGAUCAGCCAAGUGUUUCUGAAGGUCAUGGCUGACUUCCAGGACGACCUUAGGCAGUGAGAUGGCCACAGAUCUCUUCUUCAUCUUGCUGGCCCAGGUCUUUAGCUGUUCCCUGUUCAGCAGUUUCUCAACCCUCUCCAGAGGCUCCACGUGGUUUGGCAUGAUAAAGAUCAUGCUGGAGAGCUUAUGAGCCAGUGGCAUUUCUACCACCUGAAGCUUCUCUGCCUCAUCAUCAUAGUAAUUGUAGAGACCUUGAAGUCAGAAUCAGAGAUAGGAAAUGGUGAGAUGUAGAGCAUGGGCAAAUAGCCACAAACGUUUUGCCAGUUCACCCUGGGCUCCCCUGACACUGAGGGAAGAAAGCCUCAGUGCCAUUUUGGGAACUGGCCCGUCUUCAUUGGAGUUGGCAACAACUCAUAACUGUGGUUCUCAUUCACGUCAUGAGCUAGUUUAUUCCUAACAGCAAGUCUGGAUUCUCCCUGCCAACAGAGACUGAAUCAGCAGAGCAAGCAUGCCAUGCUUUGUUCUGUCUCACUCGUUGCUUAUGAAGCAAAGUUAUCUUGGAAGCAGUUAGUGGAAAACUGAGCAGCAGCAAGCUAAUUUCAGCUGGUCUUGGGGCAUGGGGCAGGUUUGCAACUUACCUGUACGAUGCAUCAUUGGAACGCCCACCGUGUAGGAGCGGGUCACCAUGAAGCCACGGUUAUCCACCAUCUUAUGAUGGAACUUCUCAUCCCAGUGAGCUGCAGGAAAGAGAUAUUCAGCAUUUGAGAAAAGGGAGCAGCAGAAAAAUAUCAUGCUCUGAAAAACCAUAUGCUUCCGGUGGACCCAAGGUUGGUUUAGGCUGCUAUAUAUGGGCUUAAGAUGGGCUUGGGGUCACCUGUAGCAAGAAUUGAAGGCAGCACUUACGCUUGAAGAACAUGGCGUUGACAAUAAGGGCUCCAUCAGUUUUCUCAACAUCCUUUGUGACUUCUGGGAGUUUCCCAUCUGUGGUCUGGGCUGCCCACUCGUUGAUGGAUUUCAGGGCGCUCCUCUUGUCCCGAAAGUUGAUCUUGGAGUGCUCAUAGUUGUAGUGUUUCUUGCUGUUCUUCACGAAGUCAUCGGCAAAGUUGAUGGAGGCAGGGCCAUACAAGCGGUUGCCGAUCUUCCAGGUAACAUUACGGGCUGUGCUGUUGCUCACCUCGUUGAGGAGCUCCGACAGCCCGCUGUGCACAUAGUCAUCAUUCAGCUUGUCUGCGCUGAGCACGGCCUUGGCUUGGGAGGCAGUUGUAGCCUUGCCCCCAAGGGACACGAGGCCCAGGGAAGAAGCCACGACCACGGGAGACAGCAGGAUGUUCUCCAUGUUCUUGUCUUUGGCCAUGGCAUGGUAGAGGUUGAAGGCCAACGUCGUGCUGCGGUCGGCCAACGUUGUUGCCUUGUCGCUCAGCUUCCUGUCCUCUGAGGGCACAGCUGCUGCAAGGCCGCAGAGAGCGAGGACCAGAAAAAUCUGCAUGGUUUUGGCAGCACCCAACUCGUCUGGGGACCUCCGGAGCAGUGCAGGAUCGGGGCUCAGUUCCCUGUGCACCUCCCGGUCCAGAGGAGGGGGUAUAUAAGGGGCCGGCAAGAAACUUCUGGAAGUUGGGAAAAACCUCUCAAAAAAAAAAAAAAAAAAAUCCAGCCUGGGGAGGGAGAGAGGAA
Molecule: long non-coding RNA, 2472 nt
Filed under: Gallus gallus (chicken)
Lineage: Eukaryota; Metazoa; Chordata; Aves; Galliformes; Phasianidae
Source: RNAcentral